Molecule: ribosomal RNA, 479 nt
Filed under: uncultured bacterium
Lineage: Bacteria
Description: bacterial SSU rRNA
Rfam family: Bacterial small subunit ribosomal RNA
Source: RNAcentral
ACCGUACUCCUACGGGAGGCAGCAGUGGGGAAUUUUGGACAAUGGGGGCAACCCUGAUCCAGCAAUGCCGCGUGAAUGAAGAAGGCCUUCGGGUUGUAAAGUUCUUUCGGUGAUGAGGAAGGCGGUUGUUUUAAUAGAACAAUCGAUUGACGUUAGUCACAGAAGAAGCACCGGCUAACUCCGUGCCAGCAGCCGCGGUAAUACGGAGGGUGCGAGCGUUAAUCGGAAUAACUGGGCGUAAAGGGCACGCAGGCGGUGACUUAAGUGAGAUGUGAAAGCCCCGGGCUUAACCUGGGAAUUGCAUUUCAUACUGGGUCGCUAGAGUACUUUAGGGAGGGGUAGAAUUCCACGUGUAGCGGUGAAAUGCGUAGAGAUGUGGAGGAAUACCGAAGGCGAAGGCAGCCCCUUGGGAAUGUACUGACGCUCAUGUGCGAAAUCGUGGGGAGCAAACAGGAUUAGAAACCCUAGUAGUCCUUGAC